This is a small nuclear RNA of Capra hircus (goat), 107 nucleotides long. The record is from Ensembl. NCBI's taxonomy places the organism in Eukaryota, Metazoa, Chordata, Mammalia, Artiodactyla, Bovidae.
GUGUUUACUUCAGCAGCACAAAUGUUAAAACUGGAAGGAUACAGGAAAGAUUAGCAUGACUUCUGUGCAAGGAUGACACAUAUAUUCAUUAAACGUUCCUUUUUUUU